GCUAAGGUCCCCAAAUCAUCGCUAAGUGAUAAAGGAGGUGGGAGUGCACAGACAACUAGGAGGUUUGCCUAGAAGCAGCCAACCUUAAAAGAGUGCGUAAUAGCUCACUAGUCAAGCGCUCCUGCGCCGAAAAUGAACGGGGCUAAGCGAUGUACCGAAGCUGUGGACUUAGAUAUUGUCUAAGUGGUAGGGGAGCGUUCCGUCGUAGGUAGAAGCAGUAGCGGCAAGCAGCUGUGGACGAAACGGAAGUGAGAAUGUCGGCUUGAGUAGCGCAAAUGUAUGUGAGAAUCAUACACCCCGAAACCCUAAGGGUUCCAGAGCCAGGUUCGUCCACUCUGGGUUAGUCGGGACCUAAGGCGAGGCCGAACGGCGUAGUCGAUGGACACAGGGUCAAUAAUCCCUGACUAUGAUGUGGGAGCAUGACAAGGGACGCAUGAAAGAUAGCCAUACCCUGAUUGGUUUGGGAGGAGUUUACGAACUCCGCAUGGUGAUGCGAUUGUGCCAAGAAAAGCUGGUCAUGUGAUGAAGACAUCAUACCCGUACCCGAAACCGACACAGGUAGGGAGGUUGAG
RNAcentral lists this ribosomal RNA (572 nucleotides) under Anabaena cylindrica PCC 7122. RNAcentral's name for it is "bacterial LSU rRNA". It matches the Rfam family "Bacterial large subunit ribosomal RNA", at positions 1038 to 1676 of the family's 2925-position model. Lineage: Bacteria; Bacillati; Cyanobacteriota; Cyanophyceae; Nostocales; Nostocaceae. The record is from RNAcentral.